GGAGGGCAAGUCUGGUGCCAGCAGCCGCGGUAAUUCCAGCUCCAAUAGCGUAUAUUAAAGUUGUUGCAGUUAAAAAGCUCGUAGUUGAACCUUGGGCCUGGCUGACCGGUCCGCCUCACCGCGUGCACUGGUUCGGCCGGGCCUUUCCUUCUGGGGAGCCGCAUGCCCUUCACUGGGUGUGUCGGGGAACCAGGACUUUUACUUUGAAAAAAUUAGAGUGUUCAAAGCAGGCCUAUGCUCGAAUACAUUAGCAUGGAAUAAUAGAAUAGGACGUGUGGUUCUAUUUUGUUGGUUUCUAGGAUCACCGUAAUGAUUAAUAGGGAUAGUUGGGGGCAUUAGUAUUCAAUUGUCAGAGGUGAAAUUCUUGGAUUUAUUGAAGACUAACUUCUGCGAAAGCAUUUGCCAAGGAUGUUUUCAUUAAUCAAGAACGAAAGUUAGGGGAUCGAAGACGAUCAGAUACCGUCGUAGUCUUAACCAUAAACUAUGCCGACUAGGGAUCGGACAAUGUUAAUUUUUUAAUGACUCGUUCGGCGCCUUACGGGAAAC
Molecule: ribosomal RNA, 546 nt
Filed under: uncultured eukaryote
Lineage: Eukaryota
Description: SSU rRNA
Rfam family: Eukaryotic small subunit ribosomal RNA
Source: RNAcentral